Molecule: non-coding RNA, 86 nt
Filed under: Herbaspirillum sp. Sphag64
Lineage: Bacteria; Pseudomonadati; Pseudomonadota; Betaproteobacteria; Burkholderiales; Oxalobacteraceae
Also listed under: 1 other name
Source: RNAcentral
GUCUCUGGGCAGCAGUGGUGAGGAGGCUUCGGCCUGCCGUUUUCUUCUUUUCGGUCUUCCAACCUUGCCAUUUGCUGCCCACCCGU